This 4232-nucleotide long non-coding RNA is filed under the name Homo sapiens (human). Its description in RNAcentral is "non-protein coding TRG-AS1:9". Lineage: Eukaryota; Metazoa; Chordata; Mammalia; Primates; Hominidae. The record is from RNAcentral.
AGUUCUCCAGCGCCCUCUGUGGCGGCUGAGAGCAGGCCCUCUAAGGAAGAGAGCUCCGGGCAUAGAGAGCUCAGGCCUGCAGCAGAGGGAGUGCAGAUGUGGGGGAAGCUGACCCUGGAGUUAACAGGCUCAGACCUUAAAGGGGGUAGUCUCACAGCAGGUUCACACCCAGCACUUCAGAGUUUCAGCAAGUAAGGCAACUGCAAGACCCUCAUUCUGCCGGGAAGCUUCUGAUUAGGGCCCUAAACCACCAUCCUUUUCACAUCUGCAAGGACACUAGAGGCAACACCCAGGGUCACUCUGAGAGGGCCUGAACCUGCUUUAUUAACAGGAUCGAGGGUCAGAUACAACAAAGAGAGGACAAUACUGGCACUAGACUGAAAAGAUUCAUGGAACACAGUGGAAAGUCCAGAAAGAGAGCCACGUGACCGAAGUAAGUCGUGAUGCAGGAAAUGAGUGCGUUUCACAGCUUGCUGAGCCCCUACUCGACCCAGGAAGCCCAGCUGGCCCCUCCUCUCAACAGGAGUGAGAAUCAGCUCAAAUUUUGCAGUUUCUGCUGUCAUCACAGCUGGGAAUGAGAAAGGGAAGGGGCUCCAGUUGGUCUCCCUCUGCCUCUGGAGCACACGUGGAGGACAUGAGGCUUCCGCAGGAACAGCUCUGAAAGCUGAGUUCUCGGGUCCCUGUGAAGGAGGGAAGCUUGCCUGCCUUGGAGCGUGAAAAAGUCUUGCUGGACAGAAGUCUCACGGUUUAAAACUGGGAAGGGAGAGGAUUGAGAUCACACUAGAAUGCACAGAAAAUUCUUAAAACAAAAAAAUGAGAGAAACUUCAUCAGAAUGUGAAAAGAACUAUAAAGCUACAGUGCUGAAGAGAGGGCAAUACUGGCACUAGAAUGAGAAGAUUCAUGGAACACAGUGGAAAAUGCAGUAAGAGAGCUGCAUGAAGCCUCUGAUUAGGGCCCGGAACCAACUUCCUUUUCGCAUCUGCAGACUCAUGGAGGCAACCACUCAAGGCCACUCUGAGAAGGGUUGAACGUGCUUUAAAUUAAAAGGACUGAGGAUCAUGUGUGUUGGUGUGUCCUGGACUCUGCUCUAAGAGCUGCACGGGGGCUUGGAUCAAUGCCUGAAUCCAGUGUUCCUGAGUGCAGAGCAUCUUUGCUCUGGGUGAGCUUUGACCAUCCUGGAGAAGAAGGCUGCUGCGGGGGUGGGACAAAGCCAAGACCAAUGCCCAGCGGCCAAGGCCAGCCAGAUGGCUCUGUGCUGGCAGCCAGUGUACACGGAUUUUACCUGAAGGAAAAUGUCACAUUUUCCACAGACAACUGAAGAAAGAGAGCUCUUUGGAUUACCCUAAUUGUGAUUUACUCAUUGGAACCACUGUUUUGGAUUGUCCAAAAUUAAGUCUCAAAGCUUAAAUAUGAGGCUUCAGGGAGUUAUCCUGAAAUCAGUGCUUGGUAUCUUCUUGUUUUUUGCUUGUUUUUUAAAACCUUAAUUCUCAUAUUUUUCUGUCAUAUUUCUCAGUGCCUGGUACAUUAUCACCAUUAAUCCAUGCCAGUUAUGUACAGUUUUGCAUGUUUGUUUUUUAUUUUACUCUUUUCUCUCCUUCAUUCCCUAUUCCUGUUCCCCCAUAGGUGCCCAGUCUAAUGUAUUUGAUAUCUGUCCUUAGAGCCUCCGUAUCUGUGAAGACUAGAGUCAUGCACUUCAUCACAUUUCAGUAACGAUGGGCCGCAUGUACCACAGUCCCAUGAGAUGAUAGAGGUGCAGAAAAAUUCCUGUCAUCUAGUGACAUCGUAGCCAUCAUAACAUCACAACACGACUCUCAUUUGUGGUGACCCUGGUGUACACAAACCUACUGUACUGCCAGUUGUAUAAAAGUCUAGCACAUCCAGCUACGCACAGUACAUACUUGAAAAUUAUAAUAAAUGACCAUGUUACUGGUUUAUGUAAUUACUAUAUUAUACUUUUUAAUCAUUAUUUUAGAGUGUACAACUUCUACUUGUAAAAAAAAAAAAAGUUAACUGUAAAACAGCCUCAGGCAGGCCCUUCAGUAGGAAUUCCAGAAGAAGGCACUGUUGUCCUAGGAGAUGACAGCUCCAUGUGUGUUACUGCCCUGAUGACCCUCCGUGGGUACAAGAUGUGGAGCUGGACUACAGUGAUAUUGAAGAUCUCGACCCUGUAGGCCUAGGCUAAUGUGUGGCUGUGUCUUGAUUUUUAGCAAAAAUGUUUUAAAAGUGAAAAUGUUAAAAAUAGAAAACAGUUUAUAGAAUAAGGAUAUAAAGAAAAUAUUUUGUACAGCUGUAUAAUUUUUUUUUGUUUUUCUUUUCCUUUUUCUUUUUUUUUUUUGAGACGGAGUCUUGCUCUGUCGCCCAGCUGGAGUGCAGUGGUGUGAUCUCGGCUCACUGCAACCUCUGCCUCCUGGGGUCAAGCGACUCUUCUGCCUCAGCCUCCUGAGUGGCUGGGACUACCGGCAAGUGCCACCAUGCCUGGCUAAUUUUUGUAUUUUUUGUGGAGAUUUUCACCAUCUUGGCCAGGCUGGUCUUGAACUCCUGACCUGGUGAUCCACCCGCCUUGGCCUCCCAAAGUGGUGGGGUUACAGGCGUGAACUACAGGGCCUGGCCUGUUUGUGUUUUAAGCUAAGUGUUGUUAGGAGUCAAAAAGUUAAAAAAUAAAAGUUGCUAAAGUAAAAAAGUUACAGUCAGCAAAAGCUAAUUUAUUAAUGAAGAAAGAAAUGUAUGUUUUGAUCAAUUUAGUGUAGCCUAAGUGUCCAGUGUUUAUAGUCUACAGGAGUGUACAGGAACGUCCUAGGUCUUCACAUCCUCUCACCACUCACUCAUUGACUCACUCACCCAGAGUAGCUUCCAGACCUGCAAGCUCCAUUCAUGGUAACUCCCCUAUACAGGUGUUACAGUACUUAAAAUUUUAUAUCCUAUUUUUACUGUAGGUUGUCUCUGUCUAGAUAUAUUUGGAUACACACAUACUUACCAAUGUGUUACAGUUGCCUGCAGCACUCAGUACAGUAACAUGCUGCACAGCUUUGUAACCUAGAAACAACAGGCUACACCUAUAGCCUCUGUGUAGUAGGCUGUGCCAUCUGGGUUUGUGUUCUACAACGUUGCAUUCUACAAUGUUCACACAAGGAUGAAAUCGCCUAAGGACACAUUUCUCAGAAUGCUUCCUCAUUGUCAAGCAAUGCAUGACUGUAUAUAGAAUUGUUCAUAAAUACUGUGUUUUUCAUCCAUGUAAAUGGCAUGCCAUUUCUACCUAUCCACGUCUGCACACCAGCUCAUGCCCCUCAUUCAUGCUCCUUUCUGCUGCUCACCGCUCCACAGCUGGCAGCCCCUGCAUUCCAUCCAUCCAUUCCCCCAAACAUGGGCAUGUUGCUAUCAGCAGGGAGCUGUGAUGGACCCCUCACAGGGUCCUCUUAUUCCUCGUGCAAGCCUUUCCCUGGGAAGUUCCUCCCAGCAUUGCUGGUCAGGGGGAACACACACUCACAUCUUCACUAAAUGCUACCAGUGCUAUGGUGUUAUCAGAAACUUUAUUUAUUUAUUUUUUGCCAAUAUGAUAGCUAUCAAGCUACCCCAUCUCUACUAAAAAUACAAAAUUAGGCCUUUAGUAGAAACCCUGUCUCUAGUAAAAAUACAAAAAUUAGCUGGGCAUGGUGGCACACACCUGUAAUACCAGCUACUUGGUGGCUGAGGCAGGAGAAUUGCUUGAACCCAGGAGGCAGAAGCUGCAGUGAGCCAAGAUCGCACCACUGCACUCUAGCCUGGGCAACAGAGAACCUGUCUUAAAAACAAAAACAAAAAAAAUGGCACAGGUCUGAUUAUUAGGAAGCUGAGGUUCUUUUUUAUACUUAGUAUUCACUGAAGUGUGAAUUACCUUUCAUGUCCUCUAAACAUACCAACAAGGAGGCUGGAGUUAGGACUUAUGUUAGAGCCAGCCUGCCUGGGGCACAGCCUGGCCCUGCCAUUUAUUGACUGUGUGACUUUGAGAAAGCUUCCUCAUGUAACUCUAUCUUAGCUUCCCUGCCUGUAAUAAGUAAAAACAGCAACUACCUCAUAGAUUUGUAAAGAUUACAUAAAAUAAUACAUGCAAUGCAUGGCAAACGACAGUCAACGAAUGUUAUUAUUAUAUUAACUAUUGCCAUAUUAUAAAUAUAAAUAAAUAUAAAUGAUAUAAACAAACUAAUAAUAGUAAUUAUUCAUUUAUUCUUGACUUGAAUGAGAUCCUUGUGUACUU